RNAcentral lists this ribosomal RNA (491 nucleotides) under uncultured bacterium. RNAcentral describes it as "bacterial SSU rRNA". It matches the Rfam family "Bacterial small subunit ribosomal RNA", at positions 29 to 509 of the family's 1533-position model. The record is from RNAcentral.
AGUGAACGCUGGCGGCAGGCCUAAUACAUGCAAGUCGAACGGCAGCACAGCAGAGCUUGCUCUGUGGGUGGCGAGUGGCGGACGGGUGAGGAAUACAUGGGAAUCUGCCCAGUCGUGGGGGAUAACGUAUGGAAACGUACGCUAAUACCGCAUGCGCCCUACGGGGGAAAGCCGGGGACCGCAAGGCCUGGCGCGAUUGGAUGAGCCCAUGUUCGAUUAGCUAGUUGGCGGGGUAAAGGCCCACCAAGGCGACGAUCGAUAGCUGGUCUGAGAGGAUGAUCAGCCACACUGGAACUGAGACACGGUCCAGACUCCUACGGGAGGCAGCAGUAGGGAAUAUUGGACAAUGGGGGCAACCCUGAUCCAGCCAUGCCGCGUGAGUGAAGAAGGCCCUCGGGUUGUAAAGCUCUUUUGUCCGGAAAGAAAGCAUCUGGUUAAUACCCGGGUGUUCUGACGGUACCGGAAGAAUAAGCACCGGCUAACUUCGUGCC